CCGUGCUAGAUGGGGAGUUAGCGGUGCCCUGUACCCGCAACCCGCUACAGCGGGGUUGAAUUCCCUUUCGAGGUCUGGUGUUGUGGGACUAGCCUUCGCACGGGGUGUUGACAGUUGGGUCCCGCGCGGCGGAGAACUGUGAACCUGGUCAGGACCGGAAGGUAGCAGCCAUAAGCGGCAACCUCCGGGUGAUGUGGGAUCGCCUGACUCGAGCCACCGACGGAUGGAGAAGCCGGAACGCUUCGAUCGACAAAGGGUGCACGG
This 264-nucleotide signal recognition particle RNA is filed under the name Anaerolineae bacterium. RNAcentral describes it as "signal recognition particle sRNA large type". It matches the Rfam family "Bacterial large signal recognition particle RNA". Rfam says of the family: The signal recognition particle (SRP) is a universally conserved ribonucleoprotein involved in the co-translational targeting of proteins to membranes. Archaeal SRP consists of a 7S RNA and homologues of the eukaryotic SRP19 and SRP54 proteins. In most bacteria, the SRP consists of a 4.5S RNA and the Ffh protein (a homologue of the eukaryotic SRP54 protein). Lineage: Bacteria; Bacillati; Chloroflexota; Anaerolineae. The record is from RNAcentral.